This 234-nucleotide ribosomal RNA is filed under the name uncultured bacterium. Its description in RNAcentral is "partial 16S ribosomal RNA". It matches the Rfam family "Bacterial small subunit ribosomal RNA", at positions 28 to 253 of the family's 1533-position model. The record is from RNAcentral.
GACGAACGCUGGCGGCGUGCUUAACACAUGCAAGUCGAGCGGUAAGGCCCUUUCGGGGGUACGACGAGCGGCGAACGGGUAGGAGUAACACGUGGGUGGACCUCGCCCUCCAGCUCUGGGAGUAAGCCUGGGAAACGUAGGGUCGUAAUACUGGAUAUGACUCCACGGUGCAUGUCGUGGGGUGGAAAGCCUUGUGCGGCUGAGGAUGGGCCCGCGGCCUAUCAGCUUGUUGGU